This 515-nucleotide unclassified non-coding RNA is filed under the name Hevea brasiliensis (rubber tree). Lineage: Eukaryota; Viridiplantae; Streptophyta; Magnoliopsida; Malpighiales; Euphorbiaceae. The record is from RNAcentral.
AUUAAAUUGAAAUCAGAUACUAUAUGUGGCGAUGUACCAGUCUCUUGUGAUGGAAAUGAAGAUCCUAAAUCAAGAAAGCAGGCUGGAGAUAUCUCUGCGUCAAGUACACCUGGUAUGCAUGCUCGGAAAGAUGAUGAUAACAUAUUUUCAAAGAUGACAUCAUCCAAAAUCAGCAGGAGAUAUGAUCUGGGAGCAUCUUGCUCUGAUGCAGAAAUUGACUAUAGGAGGGGAAGAAGCUUAAGAGAAGGCAAAGGAGAUUUUGCGUGGCAAUGACUAAAAUUAGAGAAAAAGCAAGUCGUCAGUUGUUUCCCAUGUAUUAAGUUGCAGGUUUCUGUCAUACUCUUCUGUUUGGAGUUAUCUGUGAUAGGUGGAUGAUCUAACAUAUGAUCUAACGUAUUCUUCUCCUGUAUUUCCUCCUUUCCUGCUCUUUCAGGUGUGGCCUGAUAUCCCUGAUUGAUGAGUGUAUUCCCCGUGUUCCUAAUUUCCCACUUUCCUAUAAUUUACAUAUAUUUCCC